Molecule: ribosomal RNA, 446 nt
Filed under: uncultured bacterium
Lineage: Bacteria
Description: SSU rRNA
Rfam family: Bacterial small subunit ribosomal RNA
Source: RNAcentral
AGAGCGAACGCUGGCGGCAGGCUUAACACAUGCAAGUCGAACGGGCGUAGCAAUACGUCAGUGGCAGACGGGUGAGUAACGCGUGGGAACGUGCCUUUGGUUCGGAACAACCCAGGGAAACUUGGGCUAAUACCGGAUAAGCCCUUACGGGGAAAGAUUUAUCGCCAAAAGAUCGGCCCGCGUCUGAUUAGCUAGUUGGUGAGGUAAUGGCUCACCAAGGCGACGAUCAGUAGCUGGUCUGAGAGGAUGAUCAGCCACACUGGGACUGAGACACGGCCCAGACUCCUACGGGAGGCAGCAGUGGGGAAUAUUGGACAAUGGGCGAAAGCCUGAUCCAGCCAUGCCGCGUGAGUGAUGAAGGCCUUAGGGUCGUAAAGCUCUUUGUGCGGGAAGAUAAUGACGGUACCGCAAGAAUAAGCCCCGGCUAACUUCGUGCCAGCAGCCGC